CCCUACGGGGGGCAGCAGUGAGGAAUAUUGGUCAAUGGUCGGGAGACUGAACCAGCCAAGCCGCGUGAGGGAUGAAGGUACAGAGUAUCGUAAACCUCUUUUGUCAGGGAACAAAGGCGGGGACGUGUCCCCGGAUGCAUGUACCUGAAGAAAAAGCAUCGGCUAACUCCGUGCCAGCAGCCGCGGUAAUACGGAGGAUGCGAGCGUUAUCCGGAUUUAUUGGGUUUAACGGGUGCGCAGGCGGGCUGUUAAGUCAGCGGUCAAAGCCAGGGGCCCAACCCCGGCCCGCCGUUGAAACUGGUCGU
Molecule: ribosomal RNA, 305 nt
Filed under: uncultured bacterium
Lineage: Bacteria
Description: bacterial SSU rRNA
Rfam family: Bacterial small subunit ribosomal RNA
Source: RNAcentral